RNAcentral lists this ribosomal RNA (289 nucleotides) under uncultured Planctomycetota bacterium. RNAcentral's name for it is "uncultured planctomycete partial 16S ribosomal RNA". The record is from RNAcentral. Lineage: Bacteria; Pseudomonadati; Planctomycetota.
CUACCGGGGUAUCUAAUCCCGUUUGCUCCCCUGGCUUUCGCGCCUCAGCGUCAGAAGAGGUCCAGCGCGUCGCUUUCGCCACCGGCGUUCCUUCCGAUAUCUACGCAUUUCACCGCUCCACCGGAAGUUCCACACGCCCCUACCUCCCUCGAGACGGCCAGUAUCAAAGGCACUUUUCCGGUUGAGCCGAAAGAUUUCACCCCUGACUUGACCGCCCGCCUACGCGCCCUUUAAGCCCAGUGAAUCCGAACAACGUUCGCACGGUUCGUCUUACCGCGGCUGCUGGCAC